UGGGGAAUAUUGGACAAUGGGCGAAAGCCUGAUCCAGCCAUGCCGCGUGUGUGAAGAAGGUCUUCGGAUUGUAAAGCACUCUAAGUUGGGAGGAAGGGCAGUAAGCGAAUACCUUGCUGUUUUGACGUUACCGACAGAAUAAGCACCGGCUAACUCUGUGCCAGCAGCCGCGGUAAUACAGAGGGUGCAAGCGUUAAUCGGAAUUACUGGGCGUAAAGCGCGCGUAGGUGGUUCGUUAAGUUGAAUGUGAAAGCCCCGGGCUCAACCUGGGAACUGCAGCCAAAGCUGGCGAGCUGGAGUAGGGCGGAGGGUGGUGGAAUUUCCUGUGUAGCGGUGAAAUGCGUAGAUAUAGGAAGGAACACCAGUGGCGAAGGAGACCACCUGGGCUCAUACUGACACUGAGGUGCGAAAGCGUGGGGAGCAAACAGG
This 429-nucleotide ribosomal RNA is filed under the name Pseudomonadota bacterium. Its description in RNAcentral is "Proteobacteria bacterium partial 16S ribosomal RNA". It matches the Rfam family "Bacterial small subunit ribosomal RNA", at positions 355 to 776 of the family's 1533-position model. The record is from RNAcentral. Lineage: Bacteria; Pseudomonadati; Pseudomonadota.